GACGAACGCUGGCGGCGUGCUUAACACAUGCAAGUCGAACGGAAAGGCCCUGCUUUUGUGGGGUGCUCGAGUGGCGAACGGGUGAGUAACACGUGAGUAACCUGCCCUUGACUUUGGGAUAACUUCAGGAAACUGGGGCUAAUACCGGAUAGGAGCUCCUGCUGCAUGGUGGGGGUUGGAAAGUUUCGGCGGUUGGGGAUGGACUCGCGGCUUAUCAGCUUGUUGGUGGGGUAGUGGCUUACCAAGGCUUUGACGGGUAGCCGGCCUGAGAGGGUGACCGGCCAAAUUGGGACUGGGAUACGGCCCAGACUCCUAAGGGAGGCAGCAGGGGGGAAUAUUGCACAAUGGGCGGAAGCCUGAUGCAGCAACGCCGCGUGCGGGAUGACGGCCUUCGGGUUGUAAACCGCUUUCGCCUGUGACGAAGCGUGAGUGACGGUAAUGGGUAAAGAAGCACCGGCUAACUACGUG
RNAcentral lists this ribosomal RNA (468 nucleotides) under uncultured bacterium. RNAcentral's name for it is "partial 16S ribosomal RNA". It matches the Rfam family "Bacterial small subunit ribosomal RNA", at positions 28 to 507 of the family's 1533-position model. The record is from RNAcentral.